GCAAGUUCGCACGAGNAAAGAGGGAGCAAUCUCUCCGGUAAAGUGGCGCACGGGUGAGUAACACGUGGAUCAUCCACCUUCUUGUGGGGAAUAACCUGGGGAAACCCGAGCUAAUACCGCAUAAGCCCGAGAGGGGAAAGCAGCAAUGCGCAGGAAGAGGAGUCCGCGGUCGAUUAGCUAGUUGGUAGGGUAAAGGCCUACCAAGGCUAUGAUCGAUAGCCGGCCUGAGGGGGCACACGGCCACACUGGCACUGAAACACGGGCCAGACUCCUACGGGAGGCAGCAGUGGGGAAUCUUGCACAAUGGGGGAAACCCUGAUGCAGCGACGCCGCGCGGGUGAUGAAGUCCUUCGGGAUGUAAAGCCCUUUCGACGGGAACGAUAAUGACGGUACCCGGAGAAGAAGCUGCGGCUAACUACGUGCCAGCAGCCGCGGUAAUACGUAGGCAGCAAGCGUUGUUCGGAGUUACUGGGCGUAAAGAGUAUGUAGGCGGUUGGGUA
RNAcentral lists this ribosomal RNA (500 nucleotides) under uncultured bacterium. RNAcentral's name for it is "bacterial SSU rRNA". It matches the Rfam family "Bacterial small subunit ribosomal RNA", at positions 57 to 585 of the family's 1533-position model. The record is from RNAcentral.